ACAACUUGUCCAACACCACCUCUAAACAUGAGUACUUAGCGGGGGCCAAGACAAACUACCGGGCUCACCCUCAUAGACAAAACAUAACUAAAAAGAAAAAGUCUUAUACAUAGCAAAAGAUCAUGAGCAACGUCCCCGGAAUGGAGGACUCACCAAUAACCUUGAUAGGAAAUCGUAUUAGCCACGCGGAGGAGGAUGGUCAAGCGGUGCUCCGGUCCCUACAUGGUGACAUCAUGUAGGCAUAGAGUAUGCGUUAGUACAUUUGAAUGUACUAAGUAUAUGGGAUGCAAUGCAAUGCUACCAUAGAUGGACAUCGUAGGAAAAUGCAUAGUAAUACCCGUUAGAUAGCACAUUAAUGAAACGAUAUAUAUAUAAUGACGCUUACAUAAAAAUCAUAUUUAGUGGGACGUAGCACAAGUGUGGUGAGUGACCAUCAAUAUAGUAUUUCCAAGGCCUACCACCCCCUUGGAGAGGCGAAAGAGGUACAAACCCCUCAAUGUGGUUAUACGGGCCUACUACCCCCCGUACUUGGCAACCAAGGUACCAACCCCUCGAUACGGUUAUACGGGCCUACUACCCCCCGUACUAGGCAACCAAGGUACCAACCCCUCGAUACGGUUAUACGGGCCUACUACCCCCCGUACUAGGCAACCAAGGUACCAACCCCUCGAUACGGUUAUACGGGCCUACUACCCCCCGUACUAGGCAACCAAGGUACCAACCCCUCGAUACGGUUAUACGGGCCUACUACCCCCCGUACUAGGCAACCAAGGUACCAACCCCUCGAUACGGUUAUACGGGCCUACUACCCCCCGUACUAGGCAACCAAGGUACCAACCCCUCGAUACGGUUAUACGGGCCUACUACCCCCCGUACUAGGCAACCAAGGUACCAACCCCUCGAUACGGUUAUACGGGCCUACUACCCCCCGUACUAGGCAACCAAGGUACCAACCCCUCGAUACGGUUAUACGGGCCUACUACCCCCCGUACUAGGCAACCAAGGUACCAACCCCUCGAUACGGUUAUACGGGCCUACUACCCCCCGUACUAGGCAACCAAGGUACCAACCCCUCGAUACGGUUAUACGGGCCUACUACCCCCCGUACUAGGCAACCAAGGUACCAACCCCUCGAUACGGUUAUACGGGCCUACUACCCCCCGUACUAGGCAACCAAGGUACCAACCCCUCGAUACGGUUAUACGGGCCUACUACCCCCCGUACUAGGCAACCAAGGUACCAACCCCUCGAUACGGUUAUACGGGCCUACUACCCCCCGUACUAGGCUUGGUCGACUCACAACACGUAUAUAGAGAAAAUCAUAUACAUGUAUCCAUUUCAUCAUCAUUUCAAUACUUAUAUAAUCAUCCGACUCAUAGGACGUACAUUGGACCUUCCAUUUCAUAAGAAUUCUAUAAAUGGCAUUUUAUCAAACAUAUGGUGGGCUACUUGUUCAUGUAAAUAAAAUCAUGUGUUUCAAGAGUACUAAGUCCAACCAAUUUCAAAAUCCAUAUAAAACAGCCCACCAACAACAUACAUAUAUAUAUACAUAUAUAACAACCUUCAUAAUUUGAUCAUUGAGGCAUGAAAACCAUAAACAUCAUAUAAUCAUUCCAUUUCAUGAUAAUAUACAAAAAUAGACCAUAAUAGGAUGUGUAGUAAUAAUUCCAUAAUUCAAGAGUUCAUAAAUGAUCAUAAGGAUCCAUAAACUUAAAGUAAAAUAGAGGAUAAAUGGUUGGACUUGUGGAAAGGAAGGUUUCCACAAUCAACCCACAUACCUCAACUUUGGAGAAUUCUUGAUGAAGAUUGGAAUGGAGAAUUGCUUGAGAUUGAAUCUUGAAUCCGGAUUAAGCUUGGGAUCCUUGAAUUUGGUUGAUAAUCUUGGUGGAAUUUUUUGGAGAGGGUUUUAGAGAGGAGUUUUUGGAUGUUUUGAAGUUAAAUGACUAAGUAUGGAUAUGUCCCCUUUUUAUAAAAACGUCCCAACACUUAGAAAAAAAAUUGAGGCGGGUGAACAGUGUUUUCGGCUACUGGAAUUUGCAUUUUCUGCCGGACAGGUUUUACGAAAAUGGUCAUAACUCCUUCAUCCUAACUCGGAAUGAGGUGAAACAAAUUGAGUUGGAAAGCUAACUCACAGAGCUUUAAUUUUAAUAGUUUGAGCUCCUUCCAGUUCCUUGUGGGCUGAGAGAUAUGCCCAUUUAAAGUUGACCCUCAAAAUCGCAUGUUUUGCGAUUUUCAAAUUUUGAUACGGUUGUUCUAAAAUUCGGGUUAGACUCAUUUUCCACUCAAUUUGACCCCCUGAAUAAGAAUAUGAAGUCGAAUUUCCAAAAUCAUGCACGGAUUUUGAGAUAUAUGGAAAUUACAAUUAUAGGUGUUUCCGAAGCACAUUUUCGGGCAUUUUUGGGGUCUAGUUUCAAAUCCUAAACCCAAAAACCAAAACACUAAACCAUAAAUCCUAAACCCUAAGGCCUAACCUUAAACUCUACACGUGAAACCCUAAACACUAAACCAUAAACCAUAAACCCUAAAUACUAAAUCCUAAACCAUAAACCCUAAACACUAUAUCAUAAACCCUAAACUGUAAACCCUAAUAUCGAAACCCAUAAUACUUCACCCUAAACCUCAAACCCUAAUCCUAAAUCAUAAACCCUAAACCCUAACCGUAAAUACUAAAUCCUAAAUCUUAAACCCUAAACUAUAAAUCUUAAAUCCUAAACCCUAAACCCUACACCCUAAACUCUAAACCCUAAACCUAAAACCCAAGACCAUAAACAUUAAUCUGUAAACCCUAAACCCUAAACGCUAAACCCAAAGCCCAAAACCUUACAUCCUAAAGCAUAAAUUCUAUAGCAUAAAACCUAAACCCUAAACCCUAAACCCUACAUCCUAUACCAUAAAUCCUAAAGCUUAAACCCUAAACCCUUAACACAAAACUCGUAACCCUUAAGUCGAGACACUAAACACUAAAUCCUAAACUGUAAACCCUAAACCAUAACCCUAAACCCUAAACCAUAAACCAUAAACUAUAAACCCUACACCAUAACCCUAAAACCUAAACCUUAUACCCUAACCCCUAACCCCUAAACCCAAAACCUACAACCCUACAACCCAUACCCGAAACCCUAAACCUAAACCCUAAACCAGAAACCUUAAAAACAAAAACCCUAAAAUCUAUACCCUAAAUCGUAAACCAUAAACCCUAAAUUCUAAACACUAAACCAUAAUCACUAAACCUAAAUCCUAAACCCUAAUUCCUAAAAUGUUAAACCUAAAUCCUAACCCUAACUCUAACCCUAAACCCUAAACGCUAAAUCGUAGAAAUUAAAUCUAAACCGAAACCCUAAACACAAACUGCAAACCUAAACCCUAAAUACUAAACUGAAAAACCCUAAACCCUAAAUUUUAAACUCAAAUCCCUAAACCAUAAACCCAAAACCAUAAACAAUAAAUCGUAAACUAUAAACCCUAAGCCCUAAACCCUAAACAAUAAACCCAAAACCCUAAACCCUAACCCUAAAUCGUAAAACCUAAAUCCUAAAUCCUAAAUCCUAAACCCUAAACCCUAAACCUUAAAUCAUCAACCCAAAACCCUUAACCCUUAACCCUAAAUCCCAAACUCUAAACACUAAAUCCGAAACUCUAAACACUAAGCCCUAAACCCUAAUCCCUACACCGUAAACCCUAAACCCUGAACCCAUAAACCCUAAACCUUAGACGCUAAGCCUUAAAUCAUAACCCAAACCCUUAACCCUUAACCCUAAAUCCCAAACUCUAAACACUAAAUCCGAAACUCUAAACACUAAGCCCUAAACCCUAAAUCCUAAACCCUACACCGUAAACCCUAAACCCUGAACCCAUAAACCCUAAACCUUAGACGCUAAGCCUUAAAUCAUAAACCCAAAACCCUUAACCCUUAACCAUUAACCUUAAAUCCCAAACUCUAAACCCUAAAUCUGAAACUCUAAACACUAAGCCCUAAACCCUAAUCCCUACACCGUAAACCCUAAACCCUAACACCUAAACCCUAAACCCAUAAACCCUAAACCCUAGAUGUUAAACCUUAAAUUCUAAACCUUAAAUUUUAAACCCUAAACCACUUAACCAAAAACCCUAAACCUUAAACACUAAACCCUAACCCUAAACACUAAAUCUUAAACACAAAACCCCAACCCCUAAUACCUAAACCCCUAAACCUAAAAUCCAAAACCCUAAACCCUAAACCUUAAACCCUAAAGCCUAAAGCCUAAAGCCUAAACCCUAAACCAUAAGCCGUAAACCCUAAACCCUACACUCCAAAACCUAAACCAUAAUCCCUAAACCCUAAAUUUUAAAACUUAAACCCUAAACCGUACAACCUAAACCUAACCAUAAACCCUAUACCUAAACUAUAAAUCCUAAACCCUAAAUACUAAACUGAAAACCUUAAACACUAAAACCUAAUAUCAAACCUCUAAACCAUAAACCCUAAACCCUAAACUCUAAACCCUAAACAAUAAACCCAAAACCCUGAACCCUAACCCUAAACCCUAAAUACUAAAUCCUAAGCCCUAAACCUUCAAUCAAAAACCCUAAAUACUUAACCCUAAACCUUAUAUCCCAAACUCUAAACCCUAAAUCCCAAACUCAAAACACUAAGCCUUAAACCCAAAACCCUAAACCCUAUAUCAUAAACCCUAAAUUCUAAACCCUAAACCGUAAACCAUACAACCUAAACAUAACCCUAAACCCUAAACCUAAACCGCAAAUCCUAAACCCUAAAUACUAAACUGAAAACCCUAAACCAUAAAUCCUAAACUCAAAUCCCUAAACCAUAAAAGCUAAACUGUAAACUCUAAACCCUAAACCCUAAACCUUAAAUAAUAAACCCAAAACCCUAAACCUCAACCCCUAAACACUAAAUCCUAAAUCCUAAACCCUAAAUCCCAAACUCUAAACCCUAAAUCCCAAACCCUAAGCCCUAAACCCUAAACCCUAAACCCUAAACCCUAAACCCUAAACCCUAAACCCUAAACUUUAACCCUCAACCGAUAAACCCUAAACCUUAAACUCUAAACCCUAAAUUUUAAACACUAAACUACUUAACCAAAAUGCCUAAGCCUUCAACCUUAAUCCCUAAACCCUAACCUAAAACCCUAAACCUUAAACCUAAACCCCCAACACCUAACCCUAAACCCUAAACCCCUAAACCCCUGAACCUAAAAUUUGAAACCCUAAACCUAAAACCUAAACACUAAGUACUAAACCCUAAACCCUAAACCCUACACUGUAAAUCCUAAACCCUAAACCCUAAGCUCUAAACCCUAAUCCAUAAACCCUACAUCGUAAAUCCCAAACCCUAAACCCUAAACUCUAACCCUAAACCCUAAGCACAAACUGCAAACCUAAACCCUAAAUACUAAACUAAAAACCCUAAACCCAAAAUCCUAAACUCAAAUCCCUAAACCAUAAACCCAAAACCAUAAACACUAAAUCGUAAACUCUAAACCCUAAACCCUAAACAAUAAACCCAAAACCCUAAACCCUAAAACCUAAAUACUUAAUCCUAAAUCCUAAACCCUAAAACCUAAACCUUAAAUCAUAAACCCUAAACCCUUAACCCUAAACCCUAAAUCCCAAACUCUAAACCCUAAAUCCCAAUCUCUAAACACUAAGCCCUAAAUCCUAAACCCUAAACUCGACAGCGUAAACCCUAAACCCAAACCCCUAAACCCUAAACCCAUAAACCCUAAACCAUAGACGCUAAACCUUAAAUUCUAAACCCUAAAUUUUAAACCCUAAACCCCUUAACCAAAAACCCUAAACCUUAAACCCUAAACCCUAACCCUAAACCUUAACCCUAAACCCUAAAUCUUAAACACAAAACCCCAACCCCUAAACCCUAAACCCCUAAACCUAAAAUCCAAAACACUAAACCCUAAAACCUAAACCAUAAACCCUAAACCCUAAACCCCUAAACCCUAAACCCUAACACCUAAACCCUAAACCCUUAACCCUAAACCCCAAACCUUAAACCCAAACCUCCAACUCCUAAAUCCAAAAUCUAAAACCCUAAACCCUAAACCCUAAACCCUAAACCAUAAAUCCUGAGAAUCCUAAGGUCAAAACCAAGCAAGGAAAGAUGGGUGUGAUAUUUAAGGAGUAGGAUUUUAUGAUAAAUUGGGCUACAGAUUGCAGGUUCACCCCUAUCGGGAAAUUCAGUAAUGCAAUGCCUGAGAUGGAGCUGCUCAUAAAGAGUUUAAUAACUCAAUCUCAAUUAUCUAGAGGAGCCAAGAUAGCUCACUACAAUUCUAGGCAUGUCUAUAUUGAUAUUGACAAUGAAUUGGAUUAUAUUACUAUUUGGACAAAGCAAAAAAUGACCAUAGAGGGUCAGCUUAUGAGGAUCCAAACCUGGACUCCCACCUUCAAACCGAAAGAGGAAACCCCCUUUCUACUAAUAUGGGUAUCCCUGCCAGGGUUACCAUGGCAUUGCUAUAAGAAAGAAAUCAUAACUGCUCUCUUGUCUCCUAUUGGGAAGGUUCUUUACCUUGACAAUGCAUCAACCCAAAAAACAAGAGGUAGUUUGGCCAGGGUAAGAAUCCAGAUUGACCUUACCAAAGAAAAGCAGCAACAUAUUUGGUUUGGUUAUGAUGACAAAGAUUUGAUUAGAGGAAAGUGGCAAGCCAUUUAAUAUGACAGCAUACCAGACUAUUGUAAUUACUGUAAACAUCAAGGGCACAUGAUACAAGCAUGUACAAUAAAACAAAGGGAUGAGGUGUCACGACCCAAGCCUAGGGCCCAGACGUGACCGGCGAAUGGGGAACCCAAAGGAACCCCAAACACGCCUCAUAGCAUAUCAUUACACAUCCUUGGUCGCAGAAGCAAUUAAAAUGACCAUAAGCGAUAAACAUAAUCAAAGGGGGAAAUCGGGACUAAGGGAGCAAGAAAAAAAGAAGAAGAAAUGAUACAUAUAUACCAUAGAUGAGUCAAGCUCAAGCAUAAUACACAACUUGUCCAACACCACCUCUAAACAUAGGUACUUUAGCGGGGGCCAAGACAAACAACUGGGCUCACCCUCAUAGUCAAAACAUAACUAAAAGGAAAAGUCUUAUACAUAGCAAAAGAUCAUAAGCAACGUCCCCGGAAUGGAGGACUCACCAAUAACCUUGAUGGAAAAUCGUAUUAGCCACGCGGAGGACGAGGGUCAAGCGGUGCUCCGGUCCCUACAUGGUGAUAUCAUGUAGGCAUAGAGUAUGCGUUAGUACGUUUGAAUGUACUAAGUAUACCGGAUGCAAUGCAAUGCAACAAGGGAUGGACAUCAUAGGCAAAAUGCAUAAUCGUACCCGAUAGAUAGCAUAUUAAUGAGAUGAUAUGUAUAAUGAUAC
RNAcentral lists this long non-coding RNA (7358 nucleotides) under Solanum tuberosum (potato). RNAcentral describes it as "long non-coding RNA (STUB_LNC000549)". Lineage: Eukaryota; Viridiplantae; Streptophyta; Magnoliopsida; Solanales; Solanaceae. The record is from RNAcentral.